GGGCAGCGGAUUGAAGCUUGCUUCAGUGCCGGCGACCGGCGCACGGGUGAGUAACGCGUAUCCACCUUCCGCAUACUCGAGGAUAGCCUUCUGAAAAGGAGAUUAAUACCCGAUGGUAUUGCAUUAAUAAAGAACUCGGUAUGCGAUGGGGAUGCGUUCCAUUAGGUAGUAGGCGGGGUAACGGCCCACCUAGCCUGCGAUGGAUAGGGGUUCUGAGAGGAAGGUCCCCCACAUUGGAACUGAGACACGGUCCAAACUUUACGGGAGGCAGCAGUGAGGAAUAUUGGUCAAUGGACGAGAGUCUGAACCAGCCAAGUAGCGUGAAGGAUGAAGGUUUAUGGAUUGUAAACUUCUUUUAUAAGGGAAUAAACCUCCCACGUGUGGGAGCUUGUAUGUACCUUAUGAAUAAGCAUCGGCUAACUCCGUGCCAGCAGCCGCGGUAAUACGGAGGAUGCGAGCGUUAUCCGGAUUUAUUGGGUUUAAAGGGAGCGCAGACGGGGGAUUAAGUCAGUUGUGAAAGUUUGGGGCUCAACCUUAAAAUUGCAGUUGAUACUGGUCCUCUUGAGUGCAGUUGAGGCAGGCGGAAUUCGUGGUGUAGCGGUGAAAUGCUUAGAUAUCACGAAGAACCCCGAUUGCGAAGGCAGCCUGCUAAACUGUAACUGACGUUCAUGCUC
This 674-nucleotide ribosomal RNA is filed under the name uncultured bacterium. RNAcentral describes it as "bacterial SSU rRNA". It matches the Rfam family "Bacterial small subunit ribosomal RNA", at positions 67 to 754 of the family's 1533-position model. The record is from RNAcentral.